UAAGCUUUUCAGAGGAAUUUGCUCUUUAAUGGAUAAAACGCCAAAAUCUUACUUAAAUUUGUUAGUUCAAUUUGUAUACCACUAUAAAAACAAUUUAUAACUUUAAUUGUUUAAAUUUAUUAAAUUAAAAUAUAUUAAGUCAAGGUGCAGUAAAAAUUUAAGAAUGAAGUGAAUUACAUUACUUUUUAGUGAAAAAAAAAUUAUAAUAACACUUAGGAUUUGAAAGUAAAUUUGAAAUAGGAUGUCAAUUUGAAUCAAGCUCUAAAAUAUGUACACAUCGCC
RNAcentral lists this ribosomal RNA (282 nucleotides) under Rhipicephalus sanguineus (brown dog tick). RNAcentral describes it as "partial 12S ribosomal RNA". Lineage: Eukaryota; Metazoa; Arthropoda; Arachnida; Ixodida; Ixodidae. The record is from RNAcentral.